RNAcentral lists this ribosomal RNA (253 nucleotides) under uncultured bacterium. RNAcentral describes it as "partial 16S ribosomal RNA". It matches the Rfam family "Bacterial small subunit ribosomal RNA", at positions 524 to 776 of the family's 1533-position model. The record is from RNAcentral.
UACGGAGGGAGCUAGCGUUGUUCGGAAUUACUGGGCGUAAAGGGCGCGUAGGCGGCCUGUUAAGUCGAACGUGAAAUCCCCGGGCUCAACCCGGGAACUGCGUCCGAUACUGGCAGGCUUGAAUCCGGGAGAGGGAUGUGGAAUUCCAGGUGUAGCGGUGAAAUGCGUAGAUAUCUGGAGGAACACCGGUGGCGAAGGCGGCAUCCUGGACCGGCAUUGACGCUGAGGCGCGAAAGCCAGGGGAGCAAACGGG